This is a long non-coding RNA of Balaenoptera ricei (Rice's whale), 986 nucleotides long. RefSeq lists it as uncharacterized. The record is from RefSeq and is a predicted model, not a curated record. The transcript has 5 exons. Lineage: Eukaryota; Metazoa; Chordata; Mammalia; Artiodactyla; Balaenopteridae.
CCAGCAGCACCCAACAGGGAACGGCUUCCUCUGGCACCCCGGAGGGUAGAUUUCUGGCAGGUUCCACCACAAGUGCAACAACACAGGUACUCCUGGCUGUGCAAGUUUUCCAGAUGUUCCUUGUUUUUGAUGACCUUGACAACUUUGAAGAGCACUGGCCAGGAAAUGCAAGUCAGUGAAUCAGUGGAAAAGCAAUGCAAAUUGAUGCUCAUCUGAAGAAAUACAGGAAGUCCCACUAAAGCCCACCAGCCUGCACUGCCCUUCACCGCAGGCCCUAGCCUUCGACCAGGAAUUGGCUCAAGUGGUUAUGGAGGCUGAGAAGCUGAGAUGUCCCAAGAUAUGCAGCUGGCAAGGUGAAGACCCAGAAGAAAUGAUGGCGUAAUUUCCAGUCGAAGUCCAAAGUACAUGUCAAUGGCGGAAGUUCCAAUAUGAGUCUGAAUCCAAAGGCAGGAGAAGACCAAUGUCCCACCUCAAAGACAAUUAGGAAGAGAAAGUAAACUUUCCUUUACUCAGCUUUUUAUUCUACUCAGGUCUCCAAUGAUUAGAUGAGGCCUGUCCACGUUGGAGAGGGCACUCUGUUGUGCUCUGUCUACUGACUCCAAUGUUAAUUUAUCCAGAAAUACCUUCACAGAUACAUCCAGAAUAAUUUUUAACCAAAUAUCUGGAUACCCUGUGGCACAGUCAAGUUGACACAUAAAAUUAACCAUCACAAACCAUUUUUUGAUUACGCAUAGAUAGUAGAAACAACUGUUCCUACCUCUGCAUUAUUAAAUCCUUCCUGGGACAUCAAGAAACCAUAUUAUCCAACAAUUAAUUACUUUGGCUACCCUUGUUCCCUCACCUCUCCCCACUACACUGGGCCGCACUCCCCCUUCCUCUCUACUAGGUGUUUGGAAGAUGAUUAGCAGCAGUAAAAUUGGUUUAGAUUUUAUUCAUAUUCCUAGAAAUUGAAUUUGUGUCUCUUUAAGGCAUAUGCAUUUAAAGAA